UGGCGUAAUCUCAGCUCACUGCAACCUCUGCCUCCCGGGAUCAAGCGAUUCUCCUUCCUCAGCCUCCCGAGUAGCUGGGAUUACAGGUUCAAGAGAUUCUUCUGCCUCAGCCUCCCAAGUAGCUGGCACUGCAGACACGCACCACCACACCCAGGCUACACAGAACAACAUCAUUAGCAACAUUGUUUCAGCAAGGAAAUAAUCCUUAUUGGCAAAGGGAAACCAAGGAAAGAAAACUAUUGUUUUCUUCGGCUACAUGCUGUCUGCAAAGCACCCCAUGGAUUCAAUUUCUCAUCAAUUCAGAAUGGAAUACUAACGUGCUGCCUAGAGAUACAGAAGUGGGAUGAACGCAGGGCCUUACUCAGCAUUCAGAACAAAACUGAUGGUGCUAGCAUAUAUAAGACUGAAACACCAAAGUCCUCCGUGGAAGUUAAUGAAUUUCUAAUAGUGAAAUAAGGUGGCCAAGGAGGCAGAGAUGGAGUCAGGGACUCUGUGAUCAACCCUGAGGAUUGGGAAGGAACUAUACAUACCAGGAGGCAAGGAGCACUGGGGGCCCUCCUGGAACUGCCUGUCACAGCGUCCUCAAAGGAUGGAACAGAUUAUUUCUACAGAAACCCUAAGUUUUAAAAAGAAAAAAUGCACAACAUUCCCAGAAGACCAGCAGCAGGAGCGACAUUCCACAACCUUGAAUUUAAGGUGCUUCCUGUUUACUUCUCUGUGAAUUAUCAUUGCCACCUCUGUGAAAUCACCUAGCCACAUGAGGUAGCAAAGCUGCCUGCCACCCAACGGGCUGCAGGGGGAACUGUUUCAUUUGUAUUAGAGUUCUUCAAAGAAAGAGGGAGAAAGAGUGAGAAAGAAAGAUUAUGGAAAUUCACUCAUAUGAUUACGGGAGUCAAAAAGUCCCACCAUCUGCCUUCUUCAAGCUGGAGAACCAGGAAAGUCAGUGGUGUAAUUCAGUCCAAGUCCAAAGGCCUGAGAACCACGGGAGCCAAUGGUAUAAGUCCCAGUCUGAAGCCAAAGGCCUGAGAACCACUGGCAGGAGGGCAGAGGAGUCUUGCUGGUAUAAGACCCAUAAUCCAAAGGACUGAGAACCAGGAAGCUUUGAUGUCCAAGAGAAGGAGAAGAUGGAUAUCCUUGCUCAUGCUUCUUCUGCCUUUUAUUCCUAUUUGAGCCCACAACAGAUUGGAUGAUGUCUGCCCACUUUAGUGAGGGAAGAUUUUUUUUACCCGGUCUACUUAUUCAAAUGUUAAUAUCUUCUGGAGAUCCUCAUACAGACACACCCAGAAAUAAUGUUUUACCAGCAAUCUGGGCAUCCUCAGCCCAGUCAGGGUGACACAUAAAAUUAGCCCUUACAACAUUACUGCCAUUUUACAAUACAGUGGCAAUGUAUGAAAACGCUAGGUCCCCUACAUUCUUGGCAAUACUUGGUAUGGUCAGUCUUUUUCGUUUUAAUCAUUCUAAUGGGAAUGCUGUAAUAUCUCAUUGUGGUUUAAUUUGUAUUUUCCUCAUGAUAAUGAUAAAGAAUAUCUUUACAU
This is a long non-coding RNA of Homo sapiens (human), 1535 nucleotides long. Lineage: Eukaryota; Metazoa; Chordata; Mammalia; Primates; Hominidae. The record is from Ensembl.